CCCUGUUAACUGGGCAUGGAAGGAAGGCCAAGUCUGCCAUUAAGUCUCUUUUUGAGCCUGUAUAUAUUUGCAUAAGGUCCAUUAACUAUAUUAAGUGGUCAUAGAUAAACCAGAUACUUAUAGGCAACUCUAAUAAACUACAUGCAGCUUUGUAGAUUAUUUGCAAUAAAAUUUUAAUUUUAACAAUCCUUUAAUUGUUAAAUUAAAGCCUGCCUAAGCUCUCUUGUAGUAUUUUGCAUAUGUCUGGGGUGGAUCUCUUUAUUGGCUUUUGGCAUAUGCGUUUGGUUUAAAGCAGUCCAAGCAAAACAUAAGUAGAAAGGUAGGCUUACUGAUUAUAUAUGGUAUAUAUAUUUACACACACACACACACAGAGUAAACAGCCAUAAGAACUAUGUCCAGCUCUUUCUAAUAUAGCUAAGUAACUGUAACAGUCAGUUAGUCCACCUGAGGACCCCAGCUUUAUUUUUUAAGUAAAAAUAAAAAUCUUACUUGUUAUCAAAACAAUAUGUUCCUUAUAGUAAAACAGAAGCAAAAUUUUUAAAUAGGAAAUUUGGAACACAAUAAUCAUAACUCCACCAUCCAGGGAUAACCACUGUUAAUAUCUAAGGUUGUAUUCUUCCAGAUCAUUGUAUAUAUACUGUAGAGUUUGGAGUCAUACUAUUCAUUUUAAUUUAAAAUAAACUUAAAAAAAACUUAGCAAUGUAUUGUGACUAUCUUUCUUUCUUUCUUUUCUUUUUCUUUUUUUCUUUUUUUUUUUUUUGGAGACAGGAUCUUAUUCUGUCACCCAGGCUGGAGUGUAGUGGCACAAUCAUAGCUCACUGCAGCCUCAACCUCCUGGGCUCAGGUGUUCCUCCCACCUCAGCGUGUCAGGCAGCUGGGAUUACAGGUGUGCGCCACCAUACCCAGCUAAGUUUUGUUUUUGUUUUUGUUUUUUUGUUUUUUGUUUUUUUUGAGAGAUGGCAUUUCACCAUGUUGCCAAGGGGGGUCUCACACUCCUGGGCUCAAGUAAUCUGCCUGUCUCAGCCUCCCAAAGUGCUGGGAUUACAUGAGUGAGCCACUGCACCCAGUCCCUAUCUUUCCUUCCUUCCUCCCUCCCUCUCUCCCUCCCUCUCUCUCUCUCUCUUUCUUUCUUUCGACAGAGUCUCACUCUGUCACUUAGGCUGGAGUGCAGUGGCCCGAUUUCUGCUCACUGGAACCUCCACCUCCCGGGUUCAAGUGAUUCUCCUGCCUCAGCCCCCUGAGUAGCUGAGAUCACAGGCAUACACCACCAUGCCCAGCUAAUUUUUGUAUUUUUAGUGGAGAUGGGGUUUCACCAUGUUGGCCAGGCUGGUCUCAAACUCCUGGCCUCAAGUGAUCCACCUGCCUUGGCAUCCCAAAGUGCUGGGAUUAUAGGCGUGAGCCAACGUGCCCAGCUGGGCCCCUAUCUUUUAAUAAUAAUAAAUAUUCUUCAAGACUUUC
RNAcentral lists this long non-coding RNA (1458 nucleotides) under Homo sapiens (human). RNAcentral describes it as "non-protein coding lnc-PIGM-4:1". Lineage: Eukaryota; Metazoa; Chordata; Mammalia; Primates; Hominidae. The record is from RNAcentral.